UACGUAGGGUGCGAGCGUUAAUCGGAAUUACUGGGCGUAAAGCGUGCGCAGGCGGUUUUGUAAGCCAGGCGUGAAAUCCCCGGGCUCAACCUGGGAAUGGCAUUUGGGACUGCAAGGCUGGAGUGCGGCAGAGGAGACUGGAAUUCCUGGUGUAGCAGUGAAAUGCGUAGAAAUGUGGAGGAACACCGAUGGCGAAGGCAGCCCCCUGGGCCGACACUGACGCUCAGGCACGAAAGCGUGGGGAGCAAACAGG
This 253-nucleotide ribosomal RNA is filed under the name uncultured bacterium. RNAcentral describes it as "partial 16S ribosomal RNA". It matches the Rfam family "Bacterial small subunit ribosomal RNA", at positions 524 to 776 of the family's 1533-position model. The record is from RNAcentral.